GAUGAAGAACGUAGUGAAAUACGAUAAGUAAUGUGAAUUGCAGAAUUCAGUGAAUCAUCGAAUCUUUGAACGCACAUUGCGCCCGCCAGUAUUCUGGCGGGCAUGCCUGUUCGAGCGUCAUUACAACCCUCAGGCCCCCGGGCCUGGCGUUGGGGAUCGGCGGAAGCCCCCUGCGGGCACAACGCCGUCCCCCAAAUACAGUGGCGGUCCCGCCGCAGCUUCCAUUGCGUAGUAGCUAACACCUCGCAACUGGAGAGCGGCGCGGCCACGCCGUAAAACACCCAACUUCUGAAUGUUGACCUCGAAUCAGGUAGGAAUACCCGCUGAACUUAAGCAUAUCAAUAAGCGGAGGA
This 353-nucleotide unclassified non-coding RNA is filed under the name soil metagenome. RNAcentral's name for it is "partial contains 5.8S ribosomal RNA, internal transcribed spacer 2, and large subunit ribosomal RNA". The stretch from base 1 to 120 matches the Rfam family "5.8S ribosomal RNA", at positions 35 to 154 of the family's 154-position model. The record is from RNAcentral.